RNAcentral lists this ribosomal RNA (1159 nucleotides) under Tribolium castaneum (red flour beetle). Its description in RNAcentral is "SSU rRNA". It matches the Rfam family "Eukaryotic small subunit ribosomal RNA", at positions 386 to 1471 of the family's 1831-position model. The record is from RNAcentral. Lineage: Eukaryota; Metazoa; Arthropoda; Insecta; Coleoptera; Tenebrionidae.
GAGAGGGAGCCUGAGAAACGGCUACCACAUCCAAGGAAGGCAGCAGGCGCGCAAAUUACCCACUCCCGGCACGGGGAGGUAGUGACGAAAAAUAACGAUACGGGACUCAUCCGAGGCCCCGUAAUCGGAAUGAGUACACUCUAAACCCUUUAACGAGGAUCAAUUGGAGGGCAAGUCUGGUGCCAGCAGCCGCGGUAAUUCCAGCUCCAAUAGCGUAUAUUAAAGUUGUUGCGGUUAAAAAGCUCGUAGUCGAAUUUGUGCCCCGCGCCGCCGGUUCAUCGUUCGCGGUGUUAACUGGCGUUUCGCGGGACGUCCUGCCGGUGGGCUUAGCUCGAGAGGGCGGCCCAACUCAAUCCCGCCGCGGUGCUCUUCAUUGAGUGUCGAGGUGGGCCGGCACGUUUACUUUGAACAAAUUAGAGUGCUUAAAGCAGGCUAAAACUUCGCCUGAAUACUGUGUGCAUGGAAUAAUGGAAUAGGACCUCGGUUCUAUUUUGUUGGUUUUCGGAACCCCGAGGUAAUGAUUAAUAGGAACGGAUGGGGGCAUUCGUAUUGCGACGUUAGAGGUGAAAUUCUUGGAUCGUCGCAAGACGGACAGAAGCGAAAGCAUUUGCCAAAAACGCUUUCAUUGAUCAAGAACGAAAGUUAGAGGUUCGAAGGCGAUCAGAUACCGCCCUAGUUCUAACCAUAAACGAUGCCAGCUAGCGAUCCGCCGACGUUCCUCCGAUGACUCGGCGGGCAGCUUCCGGGAAACCAAAGCUUUUGGGUUCCGGGGGAAGUAUGGUUGCAAAGCUGAAACUUAAAGGAAUUGACGGAAGGGCACCACCAGGAGUGGAGCCUGCGGCUUAAUUUGACUCAACACGGGAAACCUCACCAGGCCCGGACACCGGAAGGAUUGACAGAUUGAGAGCUCUUUCUUGGUUCGGUGGGUGGUGGUGCAUGGCCGUUCUUAGUUGGUGGAGCGAUUUGUCUGGUUAAUUCCGAUAACGAACGAGACUCUAGCCUGCUAAAUAGGCGUAUUUCGACAUCCCAAAUACCCGCUGGAGCCGGGUUCGCCCGGUCUCUAUGUGCGGUUUUUACUGUCGGCGUACAAACAAUUCUUCUUAGAGGGACAGGCGGCUUCUAGCCGCACGAGAUUGAGCAAUAACAGGUCUGUGAUGCC